RNAcentral lists this ribosomal RNA (591 nucleotides) under Triticum aestivum (bread wheat). RNAcentral describes it as "partial small subunit ribosomal RNA". The record is from RNAcentral. Lineage: Eukaryota; Viridiplantae; Streptophyta; Magnoliopsida; Poales; Poaceae.
AUGAGGAAGACAGAACUCGGGUUGCCGAGAAGCGGUAGUAUGAAGCCACUUGGAGCUAUCUUUGUGCAGGGUAUAACUAAGGUGGCCGACCCAAUGGUUGAGACCGGAGAUGCUUGGAACCAGGCCAUAGUCGAUGAUAUGUUCUUGCCGGAUGAUGCGCUAGAUAUCAAACAGAUUGCUAUCGGGGGGCUGGCAAUGGAGGACUGCUUAGCAUGGAACUACACAAAGAACGGUAUGUUCACAGUGUGUUCCACUUAUCACCUCAGGAUGACCAUUAAUAGGCUGAAAACCGGACGGCCGGAAGCAGCGUCUUCAGUUAACAAACAUCAAGGGUACUUGGGUCUUUGGGAUACAAACGCAUCAAAUAAAGCUAAAAUUCACAUGUGGAGGGUCAUUAGGAACGGUCUGUCUGUUGGUGCGGAGCUAUUUCGAUGGAGAAUCAAGCCAGGAGUAUUUUGUGUAGUGUGCGGGCGGGAGGAGACUAUCAUGCACAGAUUUUGGACGUGCCAACACUCUGUCCAGUUUUGGGACCAGUUACACUCGGAAAAGGGAGUUUCGGUGCCAGCCCCACCGGUUUUCACAUGCUCUUAG